RNAcentral lists this ribosomal RNA (468 nucleotides) under uncultured bacterium. RNAcentral's name for it is "partial 16S ribosomal RNA". It matches the Rfam family "Bacterial small subunit ribosomal RNA", at positions 28 to 507 of the family's 1533-position model. The record is from RNAcentral.
GACGAACGCUGGCGGCGUGCUUAACACAUGCAAGUCGAACGGAAAGGCCCUGCUUUUGUGGGGUGCUCGAGUGGCGAACGGGUGAGUAACACGUGAGUAACCUGCCCUUGACUUUGGGAUAACUUCAGGAAACUGGGGCUAAUACCGGAUAGGAGCUCCUGCUGCAUGGUGGGGGUUGGAAGGUUUCGGCGGUUGGGGUUGGACUCGCGGCUUAUCAGCUUGUUGGUGGGGUAGUGGCUUACCAAGGCAUUGACGGGUAGCCGGCCUGAGGGGGUGACCGGCCACAUUGGGACUGAGAUACGGCCCAGACUCCUACGGGAGGCAGCGGUGGGGAAUAUUGCACAAUGGGCGGAAGCCUGAUGCAGCAACGCCGCGUGCGGGAUGACGGCCUUCGGGUUGUAAACCGCUUUCGCCUGUGACGAAGCGUGAGUGACGGUAAUGGGUAAAGAAGCACCGGCUAACUACGUG